RNAcentral lists this transfer RNA (65 nucleotides) under Nabis ferus. RNAcentral's name for it is "tRNA-Glu". The record is from RNAcentral. Lineage: Eukaryota; Metazoa; Arthropoda; Insecta; Hemiptera; Nabidae.
AUUUAUAUAGUUUACACAAAACACCCCAUUUUCAAUGGGAAGAUAGAUAAUAUAUCUUAUAAAUA